Molecule: long non-coding RNA, 218 nt
Filed under: Elaeis guineensis (African oil palm)
Lineage: Eukaryota; Viridiplantae; Streptophyta; Magnoliopsida; Arecales; Arecaceae
Description: long non-coding RNA (EGUI_LNC031862)
Source: RNAcentral
CCAAACCUCUCCUAUAUCCCAUAUGCUUGCCUGUUUCAAGAAUUAUUAUACAGAGAGGCUACUGAAUACUUUGAUUGCUAUUAAAGCCAAAGAUUUUUAAUAUUUCUCAAUUCCCUAAGUGAAAUGACUAAGAAAAAUAAAGGUUUCAGCUACCAAUCACAAAGUUUGCAUCAUUCAGUUUGGCUAGCAGUGGCAUCAGAAAAGAAAAUAAAACAGAA